CGGGAACUUUGGGCAAUGGGCGAAAGCCUGACCCAGCAACGCCGCGUGAGGGAUGAAGUAUUUCGGUAUGUAAACCUCGAAAGAAUGGGAAGAAUAAAUGACGGUACCAUUUAUAAGCUCCGGCUAACUACGUGCCAGCAGCCGCGGUAAUACGUAGGGAGCAAGCGUUGUUCGGAUUUACUGGGCGUAAAGGGCGCGUAGGCGGCGCGGUAAGUCACUUGUGAAAUCUCUGAGCUUAACUCAGAACGGCCAAGUGAUACUGCUGUGCUAGAGUGCGGAAGAGGCAACCGGAAUUCUUGGUGUAGCGGUGAAAUGCGUAGAUAUCAAGAGGAACACCUGAGGCGAAGGCGGGUUGCUGGGCCGACACUGACGCUGAUGCGCGAAAGCCAGGGGAGCAAACG
Molecule: ribosomal RNA, 401 nt
Filed under: uncultured bacterium
Lineage: Bacteria
Description: bacterial SSU rRNA
Rfam family: Bacterial small subunit ribosomal RNA
Source: RNAcentral